This 66-nucleotide unclassified non-coding RNA is filed under the name Pedobacter terrae. Its description in RNAcentral is "Flavo-1 RNA". The record is from RNAcentral. Lineage: Bacteria; Pseudomonadati; Bacteroidota; Sphingobacteriia; Sphingobacteriales; Sphingobacteriaceae.
ACAUAGACCCGAUUAGAGUGAACAUCCCGAUUUUUCAUCGGGAUAAAACGGAAAGCGGGAAGAAAC